CCCUCCUACACCGGCGCCGCCCUUACCUCGCGCCGACAGCCGCCCUCCCUCGCGCGCCGGCCUCCUCCACCCUCGCGCGCCGGCCUCCUCCACCCCCACGCUCAGGACGCCUUCCUUCCUCCACUCCGGUCACCUUCCUUCCUCCGCUCCGGUUGCCUUCCUCCUCGCGCACCGGCCUCCUCCCUACCCCGCGCUCUAUCUACCUUUCUUCUCGCGCUUCGGCCGUCUUCCUCCCCGCGCUCCGGCCGCCUUCCUCCCCGUGGUCCGGCCUCCUUCCUCCCCGCAAUUAGUCCGCCUCCCUCCCCACGCUCCGUCCACCUUCCUCCCCGAGAACCGUCCGCCUUCUCCCCUGAGAUCCCACGGCCGUACCACCGCCGGCCAACCCCUCCAUCUGUAAGUAAGGGCACUUGGCCGCCCUCCACGCCGGGGUGGCCCUGCUAGCCAUCAGCGGGGGAAGCGGAGUAGCUGCCAUGGCGGGGGUGAAGACGAGUUCAGGAACAACUUUGGCUUGAGGCUGUGCAAAGACCACCGCCCGUCCCUACCUUACCUACAGGCUCAUGGAGCUCAUGGAGCUCGACCUCUCCUCCGUGGCCUCCGUCUGCAAGUUCGCCGAUGACAUCCUCAUAAAAAAGAACAAUGUGUUACUACCAUGGGAGGCUCCCUGCUGGAUGUCGGCGCCGGAGGGGUAUCCCCGCAGCCAUAGACUUCUCUUCUCUCCUGCAAUGCAAGGUAUGGUACUCACACCAGUUCAAGUAAUGAUGUUGCAACAAGUACAGCUCCUCCCCCUGUCAAGCUUAGUGAGCCAAAAAAGAGCAUGUUGAUGGAUGAUUGCUAGCUCGCUUCAUCAUCGGCAGAUUUUCCCGUCUACUAACUUGUGGGUACUGCCGGAGAUAAGUAGUAGGCGGCAAAGUGUUUUGAAGUAGCACCAAGAUGGGGCAUAAAGCUGGCGAGCAGGUAUGAGCAGCGAGCUGCUACUGCACUUGUGAGGGUACUUCCGGGAAUGAAUCUGGCUAGUUAUAGCUAUUGGUACUAAACUUGUGUGCGUGUGUUAUCUUUGGUAGCUAAUUUUUGCCGUGUGCAACUACUGAACCUGGUGUCCUGCUGCUAUUGAACUGUUUUGAUGCAAAUGUCGCUGAUGAACAUACUUUGUGUAGAAAAAGCUACAAAAAAUCACUUUUUCUGGUUGUAAGAAUUUCUAAACUUGCUCUGGUCUAGCAGUUCAACAAAUAUUGAUGUUUGGUUAAUAUUACCACGCUCUACGCAGCGCUUCCACGGGAUCCUCUGCACGCAGUCGGCGUCUCACCUCACGCCGCCGCACGCCAUCUUCCUUGCUUGUCGGUGUCAUACAGGUUUCUUCGGCCGCCGCCUCGCCCUGACCCAACUAUCUCGAAUUUGCGCUGGGACCGGCCUUCAUCGAAGUUUCUCCCAAUCCUUCGACCUCGUCGUGCCAUGCAGCAUGCUUCAGUUCAAGAAAAAUCUCAAUAAAAGUUCAGAGUAGUUCACACUUCAGUUAGCACCUGGCGUCGGCCGAGGCAACAAUCCCCACCUCCCCUGACCAGAUCCUCCAUGGCCCUCGGCCACGAGCUCGUCCACCAUGGUUACUCGCAGUCGUCAAAGUGGAGCACGGACAUCAGUCCAAGUAGAAUUGAAGCCACCAUCUUCACCAUUUUCUUAUCAUUCUCACAUUAUUUUCUUGGUGAAUUAGCAAUUACUGCUAUUGUAGAAAGGAGCUUGUUGGUGUUUCUGUUUCUUUUUGGUAUGUGUUUAUGAGCAUGUGAGGGCAGUGGACAUUUUGUCCUUCUGAUAAUCUCCUUUAAUAAUAACACACACCUCCUCUUAAUGAGAAGAUGUGCAAAACUUUCCAUGACUCUUAAAAAGAGCCGUUUUGCAUAUGUAUAGUUUUGACCUACUUAAAUAUUGAGCCUACCAUUUUUUAUGAGUACCAUGAGUAUAAUGUUGUUCUUUUCCUAGCUGAGUCCGGUGAAGUACUAACAAUGAGUUUUUUGGUCGGCCUUCCAGAUCUGGAGUGGAAGCUUAUAUAUGUUGGAUCAGCUGAAGAUGAGAACUAUUAUCAGCAAUUUGAGAGUGUGCUUGUUGGCCCUGUGAAUGUUGGGACAUACCAUUUUGUUCUGGAGGUUGUGCAUGUACUAACCAGAAGUCUACCCCAGUUGAGCAAAGAAAAUUCUACAUCAGUUCAGACUAAAAAAAGACCAUAAAUUUAAGAGGAAGAAAAAAAUUAAUGAGAGAAAAAGCUGAGGUGGCUCACUAAAGAAACCCGAGAAAGCUAAAGUUUUGCUGCAUAUCAAACAUGUAGUUGAAAGGUGCAGACUUGGCAGCGGUGUGGUUCGUUCAACAACAGUGCAAUGACAAAAAGAACAUCAGUUCAAAAAAAUUAUGCAGGAGGUUUGGGAGCCAAACAACUGGAGGUUCAAAGAUUGUCGUGGAGCAAGUUCAAGAGUUUGGUUUCAUGUGAAAAAUGUGAUUUUUUGGUCAGGAUUUUGCAUGAUUGAUAGCCAUCAGUGGCAGCCGGCGAGUAGUUCAAGCCCGCAUGCGCGAGCCGCCCAUCGUCUUCCACACGUGAUCCUAUUGCUUGAUGAUGCUUGACAUGAACUCAACAAGAUGGAUGGAAUUUUUGCAAUGUAAUGUAAAUGAAUAUGGUAAACAAAUUGGGACACCAGAUUGUUUUAGAGGUGGAGUUUGUGCUCCAGUUGAGUUGCAGCAGAUUGUGGCUGUUGGUUGUUUCAAGUGAAGGUGGUCGGGUAUUACUUGUGUAGGACUGAAUGAAUCUUGUAUGUAAAGGAAACUGGAUCGAAUAGUUGUCAGUAUUAAGAUUUAAAAUUACAUUUUGAUCCA
This is a long non-coding RNA of Triticum dicoccoides, 2853 nucleotides long. RefSeq lists it as uncharacterized. The transcript has 10 exons. NCBI's taxonomy places the organism in Eukaryota, Viridiplantae, Streptophyta, Magnoliopsida, Poales, Poaceae. The record is from RefSeq and is a predicted model, not a curated record.